Molecule: ribosomal RNA, 272 nt
Filed under: uncultured bacterium
Lineage: Bacteria
Description: partial small subunit ribosomal RNA
Rfam family: Bacterial small subunit ribosomal RNA
Source: RNAcentral
AGAAUCAACGCUGGCGGCGUGCCUAACACAUGCAAGUCGAACGCGAAAGUCCCGCAAGGGAUUAGUAGAGUGGCAAACGGGUGAGUAACACGUGGGUGACCUGCCUUCGAGUGGGGGAUAACGUCCCGAAAGGGACGCUAAUACCGCAUGACAUCCUGUCUUUGGAAAGACGGAGAUCAAAGCUGGGGAUCGCAAGACCUGGCGCUUGAAGAGGGGCCCGCGCCUGAUUAGCUAGUUGGUGGGGUAACGGCCUACCAAGGCGACGAUCAGUA